Molecule: long non-coding RNA, 207 nt
Organism: Gadus morhua (Atlantic cod)
Lineage: Eukaryota; Metazoa; Chordata; Actinopteri; Gadiformes; Gadidae
Exons: 3
Source: RefSeq, a predicted model, not a curated record
CCUCCUGUCAGAAGUCCUCCAGAACAGUUCAGUGCUCUGGUGUGUGAAGAGUCUUCUCAGCUGAAAGACGAGGCUGGGGACCGGAGGCUUGUGGUGCCAGAGUGGACCUGAGGCUGGAGACAAAGGGGCCUGCAGCACCGGACCAGAGGACCAGGAAUCCAUGGCUGAUGGAGGAGCCGUGCUGAAGGAGCUGAUGGAGGAGCCGUG